This 434-nucleotide ribosomal RNA is filed under the name uncultured bacterium. Its description in RNAcentral is "partial 16S ribosomal RNA". It matches the Rfam family "Bacterial small subunit ribosomal RNA", at positions 29 to 507 of the family's 1533-position model. The record is from RNAcentral.
AGCGAACGCUGGCGGCAGGCCUAACACAUGCAAGUCGAACGAACCCUCCGGAGGUAGUGGCGGAUGGGGGUGUAACACGUCGGAACGUGGCGUUAGGCUCGGAAUAACACAGGGAAACUUGUGCUAAUACCGAAUGUGUUCCUCGGGGGCAAGAUUUGUCGCCUGUAGAGGGGCACGCGUCCGAUUAACUAGUUGGUUGUGGUAAUGGCUCACCAAGGCGACGAUCAGUAGCGGGUCUGAGAGGAUGAGCAGCCACAUUGGGACGGAGACACGGCGCAAACUCCUGCGGGAGGGAGCAGUGGGGAAUCUUGCGCAAUGGGCGAGAGCCUGACGGAGCCAUGCCGCGUGAAUGAUGAAGGUCUUAGGAUUGUAAAAUUCUUUCACCGGGGACGAUAAUGACGGUACCCGGAGAAGAAGCCCCGGCUAACUUCGUG